GUGAAUCAUCGAAUCUUUGAACGCAUAUUGCGCUCUCUGGUAUUCCGGGGAGUAUGCCUGUUUCAGGGUCAUUUGAAAUCAUAUAACUUAUAAGAUUUCUCGGGAUUUAAAAUGGGGUGUCCAUUUGUUGUGGUCGCCUAAAAUCCAAUGCAAUCUAUUUUUCUUGGGUUGCGUGAUACUUUUUGUUACUGCGUGACUUAACCAGGAGUCAUCGCGCGUUUUAUGAAU
This 228-nucleotide unclassified non-coding RNA is filed under the name Ambisporaceae sp. Its description in RNAcentral is "partial contains 5.8S ribosomal RNA and internal transcribed spacer 2". The stretch from base 1 to 71 matches the Rfam family "5.8S ribosomal RNA", at positions 84 to 154 of the family's 154-position model. Lineage: Eukaryota; Fungi; Glomeromycota; Glomeromycetes; Archaeosporales; Ambisporaceae. The record is from RNAcentral.